ACCAAUGGAUUCCAUCUGAAUCUGACAUGACUAAACCUCUCAGAUAGUGUUAUGCUAAUCCUUGAAGUUAUGUCCUCACAUUCUUCAAAAGUGUUAACUUUCGUCGACUUGAGCUUCCUCAAAUUCAGUAGUUACAAACUCUUCUGUUCAAUCCUAAGGUUCUGACAUAAAUGCACGAAACUGAUUUGGUGCGGUAGUAACUCAAUAAUUAUAUCCUUAAACCUCCACAGUUCUCUGUCUUUG
This 243-nucleotide long non-coding RNA is filed under the name Daucus carota (carrot). Its description in RNAcentral is "long non-coding RNA (DCAR_LNC003663)". Lineage: Eukaryota; Viridiplantae; Streptophyta; Magnoliopsida; Apiales; Apiaceae. The record is from RNAcentral.